GGUUAAGCGAACAAGCGUACACGGUGGAUGCCCUGGCAGUCAGAGGCGAUGAAGGACGUGCUAAUCUGCGAAAAGCGCCGGUAAGGUGAUAUGAACCGUUAUAACCGGCGAUGUCCGAAUGGGGAAACCCGGUGCACUUCGGUGCAUCAUCGUUAGCUGAAUACAUAGGCUAACGAGGCGAACCGGGGGAACUGAAACAUCUAAGUACCCCGAGGAAAAGAAAUCAACCGAGAUUCCCCCAGUAGCGGCGAGCGAACGGGGAACAGCCCAGAGCCUGAAUCAGCUUGUGUGUCAGUGGAACGGUCUGGAAAGGCCGGCGAUACAGGGUGACAGCCCCGUACACGAAGGCACACAGGUUGUGAGCUCGAUGAGUAGGGCGGGAC
This 383-nucleotide ribosomal RNA is filed under the name Leptospira borgpetersenii serovar Ballum. RNAcentral describes it as "partial 23S ribosomal RNA". It matches the Rfam family "Bacterial large subunit ribosomal RNA", at positions 1 to 423 of the family's 2925-position model. The record is from RNAcentral. Lineage: Bacteria; Pseudomonadati; Spirochaetota; Leptospiria; Leptospirales; Leptospiraceae.